AUGUACUACUUGUACAUUCCGGUUCCUGCGCUGCUCUUCACCCCGCUGAGGGCCGCUCGUGACAGAUCCUGAACA
Molecule: small RNA, 75 nt
Filed under: Pseudogulbenkiania sp. NH8B
Lineage: Bacteria; Pseudomonadati; Pseudomonadota; Betaproteobacteria; Neisseriales; Chromobacteriaceae
Description: Xanthomonas sRNA sX9
Rfam family: Xanthomonas sRNA sX9
Source: Rfam by way of RNAcentral